This 326-nucleotide ribosomal RNA is filed under the name uncultured bacterium. RNAcentral's name for it is "bacterial SSU rRNA". It matches the Rfam family "Bacterial small subunit ribosomal RNA", at positions 1 to 334 of the family's 1533-position model. The record is from RNAcentral.
ACAGAUCGUUCAGAGUUUGAUCCUGGCUCAGGAUGAACGCUGGCGGCGUGCCUAACACAUGCAAGUCGAGCGAACCCUUCGGGGUGAGCGGCGGGCGGGUGAGUAACGCGUGGGUAACCUGCCCUGUACACACGGAUAACAUACCGAAAGGUAUGCUAAUACGAGAUAACAUGUAAUGAUCGCAUGGUCGAUACAUCAAAGCUCCGGCGGUACAGGAUGGACCCGCGUCUGAUUAGCUAGUUGGUGAGGUAAUGGCUCACCAAGGCGACGAUCAGUAGCCGACCUGAGAGGGUGAUCGGCCACAUUGGAGCUGAGACACGGUCCAA